This is an RNA transcript of Ictidomys tridecemlineatus (thirteen-lined ground squirrel), 3493 nucleotides long. It is a transcript of the gene named SET domain containing 9, with no coding region annotated. NCBI's taxonomy places the organism in Eukaryota, Metazoa, Chordata, Mammalia, Rodentia, Sciuridae. The record is from RefSeq and is a predicted model, not a curated record.
UGAGGUCUGCGGUACCACGGAAACUGGUUCAGGGAGACUCAGGCUACUGCUAAGAGGCAACGGAGAGAGGAGAGAAUAAGAGCAGAGUGGACAAGAGCUUGCGGAACAGAGCACAAAUGCUCGGCGAGAUCAGCAGCCAGGACCAGCUGGACAGUCCGUGAGAAAGAAACCAGGAGCCCACUCCUCGCACGCCUUCCUCCAGGGCAGAAGCCCCUUGGAGCCCUGUGACCUUUGCGCACAAUCAGGUCUAGUGUGCGUGUUUACGAACGAAAAAACACAAUGGUUGGAGAAAGGAAAGGGGAACAGGUCCCCCUCCAGCUCCACGCGAUUGAUUCAGUGAGCUGGGUCAGUCAGUGGGCCGAAGCGAGCGGGCGAGAGGAACCAGGCGGUGCCAGGGACGCCGAGGACGGAGACCUGGAGGGCGGGACAGCGCACCCCGCUCCUCCCCAGGCCGGGCGGACCCGAGACCUCGACCCGCCUCUCCCGCGCGGUCCCCGUCACGGCGCCAGCGGGUAGCCAUGACGGGCCGCCUGCUGCGGGGCCUGUGGCAGCGAUGGCGCCGUUACAAGUACCGCUUCGUUCCCUGGAUCGCGCUGAACUUAAGCCACAACCCGAGGACUCUUCGAUAUGUUCCAGAGGAAUCCAAAGACAAAAUUAUCUCAGAUGAAGAUGUCCUAGGAACAUUACUGAAAGUUUUCCAGGCACUAUUCUUAAAUGAUUUCCAUAAACAAUCAGAUAUCUUGACUAUCCUUCCAGAACCCGUUAAGUCAAAAUAUCAAGACCUGCUGGCAGUUCAGUAUCAAAGGGUGAAUCUACUUGAAAACAAACAUCAACAGCAAAAUAUCUUUAAACCAGAAGAAAUUCUUUAUAAGACAUUGGGUUUCAGUGUUGCUCGAGCAACUAGCUCACUGAUUUCUGCGGGAAGAGGUGUCUUCGUUACUAAAGGAUUGGUACCAAAAGGCGCAGUUGUAUCUAUGUAUCCUGGUACAGUAUAUCAAAAGUAUGAGCCAAUCUUUUUCCAGUCCAUUGGAAAUCCAUUCAUUUUUAGAUGCCUGGAUGGGGUACUCAUUGAUGGAAAUGACAAAGGGAUAUCAAAGGUUGUGUACAGAUCUUGUAAUGGAAGAGAUCGACUUGGACCUUUAAAAAUGAGUGAUAGUACAUGGCUAACAUCAGAAAUUCAUAAUCCACUGGCCAUCGGACAGUAUGUCAACAAUUGUUCAAAUGGUAAUUUCACAUCAUGGGGCUAUGAGACAAGACAGAGCAGCUAAUGUCUGUUAUCAGGAAUUUGAUGUGCCUGCAGUUUUCCCUGUAGAACUGAAGCAGUAUCUUCCAAACAUUGCUUACAGUUAUGAAAAACAAAGCCCACUUCGAUGUGUUGUUCUUAUUGCACUUAGGGAUAUUGAGCAAGGAGAAGAGCUUUUUUCAAACUACUACACAAUUGUCAGCUAACUUGGCGAGUUAGAAAUUAGGUUUUUUACUUAGCUAUUAAAUCUAAGUGUAUUUUUGUUAAUCACUUCUCUGAGUUCUACCUGUAGAACAAAUAUUUUGAAAUCUAAUGGAGUAUGUUUCUAUUAAUAUAUAUUUACGUUCCAUUUUCAAUGGUAAAAGUUAUUUGCUUCAUUACAAUUUCAAACUUGUAAUGCAAUUUGAGUUUUAAUCGAUUUUCACCUAAAUACACAAUAACUUAUUAAAACUACUUGGACUUGUAGUUUCAAUUUUUCUUGUAUUUAUUUUGUAUACCUCUGUGAUGGUUUAUAAAAUUUAGCCAGGCAUCAGCAAUUCUUGUAGUACUGUUAAUGUUUACAAACUUUUGUAAAAACAUUUAUUUUUAUAGGAUAAAGUAAAACACCUUUGGUUGCUAUAAGUAAAUUGGUGUGUACAUGUGUAAUUUUAAAGGUUGUUUCAGCUGAGUAAGGGGAAAUGUAAGGUCAUUAUUUAUUUUCUUAUUGAAAAAUUCCACACACACACACACACACACACACACACACACACACACACAAAUUUCCGGCAGUGUGCAAGAGAUAUUUCAGCCUGAGAAUACAAGUAAAGGAUAGUUGUUAGGAAUCUCUCUCUUCUGCAUGGCUCAUAGUUCUGUGUAGGGCUUCCUUUAGUAAUGCUUCUAGCUUCUUUCCACUCAUUAGAGACCAGUUUUCUGAGUGUCUUCUGGAGAACUAGGCACCCAUAGCCCACUUCUCCAGCUCUUUCUUUGUGGAGAAAAAAAUGUAAGUCUGUACAGUUGCAGCUCUGAGGCCACCUGCCUGAUUUUUAUUAGUAAUGUUACUUUGAUCUUCAUCCACCUAACUCCUGUUCAAACUAUCAAUUCCAAACUUGGGUAGGAAAGAGGAUAUUUAUUGAUCCCCGCAAAUCCUCAUGGAAACUGUAUAAUCAGAUUCUGACCACCUUCACUGCUGUGCUUACCAGCUUUACUCACUAGUUUAUUGCAAUUUCAAUGGCUUCCUUUUGGUUUCCCUUUUUCCACUCCUGCCCCUCACAGAAAUCUCCAAGAGUGAUUAUUUUAAAUCAAAGUCAGGUUUUUGACACACUCCUAUUCAAAACUCAUCUAAGAGUAAAUGCUGAAGUCCUUCACAUACAUGAUCUAGCUGCUUAUUAUCUCAAAUUUCAUCUGUUCUUCCCCACUCAUUCCAUCCCAGCCACACCCGCCUCCUAGCUACUCCUUGUACCUUUCUCAGGGAAAUUGUACUGUGCCUGCAGAGACCUUCCCCCAGAUAGUCUUGUAGUUCUUUCUCUCCCUUUCUGUCACAUUCUCAGUGAGGCUUAUCUAACCACCUUAAUGAAAUUCACAACACCCUACUCCCAUCCAGCAUUCCCCAUUCCACUUCCCCAUUUUUUUGAAUAGCACUUAUGACCAGAAAGCUCAUAUUACAGUAGAGACACAAUUAGGAAAUUCCAGAAGUGGAAACAGAGAAGCCAGUUAGGAAUAUCUUGGCCAUGAUGUCCCUAGAAGUUACUGGAGAUUAUUCUGCUUUCACAGGGCUUCUCCUGAAAUCCCAUGUAGCUCUCUUAUAGCACUUGACAGCAUUUUUGGCUGUGUUCUAAAUACUUGUGGUGCUCUGUGCAUGCAUGGACCACAAAUCUCUCACAGGAAAGCCCUUUGGCGUCUAAGAAUGAAAGAAUGUACUUCUAGACAAGUAACCAAGGCAUAGUAGAGGUGUUUGCCUUCAUUUGUCCCUUUCUUGACCUUGUACAAAAUCUGUUAUGUGUAAUCUGAUAACUGCAUUGUACCAAUGUGCCCAGCUGGUAGGUAAGGGCAUUUUAAGAAUGGAACUAUGGCACAUGCCUGUAAUCACCAGUGGCUCGAGAGGCUGAGACAGGAGGAUCUCGGGUUCAAAGCCAGCCUCUGCAAUGGGGAGGCACUUAAGCAACUCAGUGUGGCUCAGUGGUUGAGUGCCCCUGAGUUCAAUCCCUAAUACUUUAAAAAAAAAAAAAAAUGGAGCUAGAGAAAGCUCUAGUCAGAGCAAAUGAAAUACAGGGA